RNAcentral lists this small nucleolar RNA (131 nucleotides) under Neogobius melanostomus (round goby). RNAcentral's name for it is "Small nucleolar RNA SNORA77 (ENSNMLG00000016510.1)". It matches the Rfam family "Small nucleolar RNA SNORA77". Rfam says of the family: ACA63 (SNORA77) is a member of the H/ACA class of snoRNAs that guide the sites of modification of uridines to pseudouridines. This snoRNA was identified by computational screening and its expression in mouse experimentally verified by Northern blot and primer extension analysis. Lineage: Eukaryota; Metazoa; Chordata; Actinopteri; Gobiiformes; Gobiidae. The record is from Rfam by way of RNAcentral.
GCAGACUCACUCUGUUCUUUGCUGCUUGCUCCAGCCCAGAACUUUUUCUGUCUGCUAAAUAAUUUUGCAGAAUGAAUUUGAUGGACUGGCUUCCUGUGACACCAGUUUUGCGUUUGUUCUGCCACAUUUGU